This 93-nucleotide non-coding RNA is filed under the name Mesodinium pulex. Lineage: Eukaryota; Ciliophora; Litostomatea; Cyclotrichida; Mesodiniidae. The record is from RNAcentral.
UAAAAAAAAAAAAAAAAACAAAAAAAAAAAAAAAAAAAAAAAAAAAAAUUUUUUUUUUUUUUUUUUUUUUUUUUUUUGUUUUUUUUUUUUUUU